GAGGUGGCCUAGUAUUUAGAGCGCCAGCCUCGGAUGCUGAAGGUCUCGGGUUCGAACCCAAGCUGAGUCA
This is a non-coding RNA of Potamilus streckersoni, 70 nucleotides long. The record is from the annotation of a GenBank genome assembly. Lineage: Eukaryota; Metazoa; Mollusca; Bivalvia; Unionida; Unionidae.